This is a long non-coding RNA of Dreissena polymorpha, 1538 nucleotides long. RefSeq lists it as uncharacterized. The record is from RefSeq and is a predicted model, not a curated record. The transcript has 4 exons. NCBI's taxonomy places the organism in Eukaryota, Metazoa, Mollusca, Bivalvia, Myida, Dreissenidae.
GCGGCCAGGCAUUAUUGAAAGUAUUCAUCUUGAUGGCUUAGUUAAAAUGCCUAUUUAUGAUGUUUUACUCAAAAUAGUAUUGGCUCGCUCACGAAUGGAUAGUGGACAAUACAUGAUUUUUUAUAUCAGAGGGAUAGCAUAUCACAGGAGCUUGAUCUAAAUCAUGGAAAUUGGCCGACGCCGUGUCAUUAUGGUUUUGAAAUUGCAAUACAAUCAUUAAUCGUGGAUGAAUCGUACUUGGGCGAUUUGGAAAGGUUCGGGUUCCUGGAUAACGAACGGUGUACGUGUUAGUUCAUAUGAAAGAAUGUCUACAACCGUCAAUAAACAUAUAUGGAAAAGGACUUGAAACGCGCACGCGCUGGCAAAUGACAUCCAGACAAAGCCAAUCGCAUCUGAAGUUUCUGCAAUCUUGGAUAGUUAUGGCAAAACGCAAAAGCUGUUGCCACGGCCACUAUGACUAAGGAGCAGGCAACAGAGUUGUCCAUUCGGAAGCGUUACUCCCACAUCAUGAACGGGGUACGCUCGAUAGAGCAAGCGUGCGUGCGUGUUUAUGUGUGCUUGUUUAGCACUUCACUAGUGAACCGGAUUUUAAAAAGACAGCUGCCAUGUGUAGUGCGGUGGUUUCAAAAAAAUGGCGGAUUUUCCGGAAACACAUAUUUUCUCAAACAUUUGCAAAUUUUCAUUCGAAUUUACAUGUUUUAUGGUUAUAAAAAUUGCACACAAAAAUGCGGCCACCAUUUUGUAGACGAUAUUCAAGAUAGCCAUGCACCGAUUCAAAAUGUCAAUUUAAUCUUCCAAAUCAAAAAAGAAAAUACUAGCUUAUAAAUACAACGCACUACAAUAAUUUGAUUUCGGAGAACUUUAAACUGUUGAGGCUUUAUAUUUAUUUAAGUAGACGUACUUCUCAUUCAUCGGUUACAGAUGUGCAGAUCGAUCAAGAAAGAAUUAAAAACAUGACGCGUGUAGCAAUAUCAUUAUUAAUAAGAGUGAUAAUUGCAAUUACGGUUGUAUUAUUAGUGUAAAUACCACUUUAUAAUUAUAAAUAGACGUGCUCGAGAAAGUGAGACACAACUUAUCAAGUAUUGCAUAAUCCAAUGUACCAUAUUACUUGGUAUUUCGUUGAGUGGAUGCCAAUAUCUGGUCUAUCUCUGGCUGAUCUAGAGCCUGAAGAUAUUAUACAAAGUUAACCGUCAUGCAUAUGUUUUCAUUUGCAAUACUUAACAAACGAUCAGUAUUGAAACUAUAGCCAGGUUUUGUGGAGCUUAAAUCCAGUAAGAAAUGGCUGAUUACUAUUUGAUGUUUAUUGCAAAUUAUGAUCAAUUGAAAAUUCUAUUUAAUUGUGUGUGUACCUGUUAUUGCGUAUUGAAGUCUUAUAUUUAUAAGUCGUGAUCAUUUAUUAAUUUGUUGUCUGUUUGGAAAUAUUGAUACAUUGAUUUUGAAUCUAAGGAGUUCAGACAUCAGACUGUCAAUAUUAACAAGCUAAGGAUACCCAAAACUAUGAUGAAUUGUUAGAGCCUCGCUCUGUGAAAAGAGGGUUU